Molecule: ribosomal RNA, 2930 nt
Filed under: Escherichia coli O157:H7
Lineage: Bacteria; Pseudomonadati; Pseudomonadota; Gammaproteobacteria; Enterobacterales; Enterobacteriaceae
Description: 23S ribosomal RNA
Rfam family: Bacterial large subunit ribosomal RNA
Source: RNAcentral
GGGUUGUGAGGUUAAGCGACUAAGCGUACACGGUGGAUGCCCUGGCAGUCAGAGGCGAUGAAGGACGUGCUAAUCUGCGAUAAGCGUCGGUAAGGUGAUAUGAACCGUUAUAACCGGCGAUUUCCGAAUGGGGAAACCCAGUGUGUUUCGACACACUAUCAUUAACUGAAUCCAUAGGUUAAUGAGGCGAACCGGGGGAACUGAAACAUCUAAGUACCCCGAGGAAAAGAAAUCAACCGAGAUUCCCCCAGUAGCGGCGAGCGAACGGGGAGCAGCCCAGAGCCUGAAUCAGUGUGUGUGUUAGUGGAAGCGUCUGGAAAGGCGCGCGAUACAGGGUGACAGCCCCGUACACAAAAAUGCACAUACUGUGAGCUCGAUGAGUAGGGCGGGACACGUGGUAUCCUGUCUGAAUAUGGGGGGACCAUCCUCCAAGGCUAAAUACUCCUGACUGACCGAUAGUGAACCAGUACCGUGAGGGAAAGGCGAAAAGAACCCCGGCGAGGGGAGUGAAAAAGAACCUGAAACCGUGUACGUACAAGCAGUGGGAGCCUCUUUUAUGGGGUGACUGCGUACCUUUUGUAUAAUGGGUCAGCGACUUAUAUUCUGUAGCAAGGUUAACCGAAUAGGGGAGCCGAAGGGAAACCGAGUCUUAACCGGGCGUUAAGUUGCAGGGUAUAGACCCGAAACCCGGUGAUCUAGCCAUGGGCAGGUUGAAGGUUGGGUAACACUAACUGGAGGACCGAACCGACUAAUGUUGAAAAAUUAGCGGAUGACUUGUGGCUGGGGGUGAAAGGCCAAUCAAACCGGGAGAUAGCUGGUUCUCCCCGAAAGCUAUUUAGGUAGCGCCUCGUGAAUUCAUCUCCGGGGGUAGAGCACUGUUUCGGCAAGGGGGUCAUCCCGACUUACCAACCCGAUGCAAACUGCGAAUACCGGAGAAUGUUAUCACGGGAGACACACGGCGGGUGCUAACGUCCGUCGUGAAGAGGGAAACAACCCAGACCGCCAGCUAAGGUCCCAAAGUCAUGGUUAAGUGGGAAACGAUGUGGGAAGGCCCAGACAGCCAGGAUGUUGGCUUAGAAGCAGCCAUCAUUUAAAGAAAGCGUAAUAGCUCACUGGUCGAGUCGGCCUGCGCGGAAGAUGUAACGGGGCUAAACAAUGCACCGAAGCUGCGGCAGCGACACUGUGUGUUGUUGGGUAGGGGAGCGUUCUGUAAGCCUGUGAAGGUGUACUGUAAGGUAUGCUGGAGGUAUCAGAAGUGCGAAUGCUGACAUAAGUAACGAUAAAGCGGGUGAAAAGCCCGCUCGCCGGAAGACCAAGGGUUCCUGUCCAACGUUAAUCGGGGCAGGGUGAGUCGACCCCUAAGGCGAGGCCGAAAGGCGUAGUCGAUGGGAAACAGGUUAAUAUUCCUGUACUUGGUGUUACUGCGAAGGGGGGACGGAGAAGGCUAUGUUGGCCGGGCGACGGUUGUCCCGGUUUAAGCGUGUAGGCUGGUUUUCCAGGCAAAUCCGGAAAAUCAAGGCUGAGGCGUGAUGACGAGGCACUACGGUGCUGAAGCAACAAAUGCCCUGCUUCCAGGAAAAGCCUCUAAGCAUCAGGUAACAUCAAAUCGUACCCCAAACCGACACAGGUGGUCAGGUAGAGAAUACCAAGGCGUUUGAGAGAACUCGGGUGAAGGAACUAGGCAAAAUGGUGCCGUAACUUCGGGAGAAGGCACGCUGAUAUGUAGGUGAAGUCCCUCGCGGAUGGAGCUGAAAUCAGUCGAAGAUACCAGCUGGCUGCAACUGUUUAUUAAAAACACAGCACUGUGCAAACACGAAAGUGGACGUAUACGGUGUGACGCCUGCCCGGUGCCGGAAGGUUAAUUGAUGGGGUCAGCGCAAGCGAAGCUCUUGAUCGAAGCCCCGGUAAACGGCGGCCGUAACUAUAACGGUCCUAAGGUAGCGAAAUUCCUUGUCGGGUAAGUUCCGACCUGCACGAAUGGCGUAAUGAUGGCCAGGCUGUCUCCACCCGAGACUUAGUGAAAUUGAACUCGCUGUGAAGAUGCAGUGUACCCGCGGCAAGACGGAAAGACCCCGUGAACCUUUACUAUAGCUUGACACUGAACAUUGAGCCUUGAUGUGUAGGAUAGGUGGGAGGCUUUGAAGUGUGGACGCCAGUCUGCAUGGAGCCGACCUUGAAAUACCACCCUUUAAUGUUUGAUGUUCUAACGUGGACCCGUGAUCCGGGUUGCGGACAGUGUCUGGUGGGUAGUUUGACUGGGGCGGUCUCCUCCUAAAGAGUAACGGAGGAGCACGAAGGUUGGCUAAUCCUGGUCGGACAUCAGGAGGUUAGUGCAAUGGCAUAAGCCAGCUUGACUGCGAGCGUGACGGCGCGAGCAGGUGCGAAAGCAGGUCAUAGUGAUCCGGUGGUUCUGAAUGGAAGGGCCAUCGCUCAACGGAUAAAAGGUACUCCGGGGAUAACAGGCUGAUACCGCCCAAGAGUUCAUAUCGACGGCGGUGUUUGGCACCUCGAUGUCGGCUCAUCACAUCCUGGGGCUGAAGUAGGUCCCAAGGGUAUGGCUGUUCGCCAUUUAAAGUGGUACGCGAGCUGGGUUUAGAACGUCGUGAGACAGUUCGGUCCCUAUCUGCCGUGGGCGCUGGAGAACUGAGGGGGGCUGCUCCUAGUACGAGAGGACCGGAGUGGACGCAUCACUGGUGUUCGGGUUGUCAUGCCAAUGGCACUGCCCGGUAGCUAAAUGCGGAAGAGAUAAGUGCUGAAAGCAUCUAAGCACGAAACUUGCCCCGAGAUGAGUUCUCCCUGACCCUUUAAGGGUCCUGAAGGAACGUUGAAGACGACGACGUUGAUAGGCCGGGUGUGUAAGCGCAGCGAUGCGUUGAGCUAACCGGUACUAAUGAACCGUGAGGCUUAACCUUACAACGCCGAAGGUGUUU